GGUACACGUGAGUCAGAAGCCCAUCCUGUUUUAAGGGGAGAGGAAUUACACUCCAUCUCUCAAUGAGUGAAUGUCUUAUUUUUCAGGGCAGAGAUCCGACUCUUUCUCUUUACACAUGAGUAUCUCCGGACUAGAGCAAGAACAUUACGGAGGAGCCACUGGUUAUGUAGACCAGGCUUCUCAAACUACUGCGCACACAAGUCGCCUAGGGACCGAAUUAACGUGCAGCCCUGAUGCAGCCGCCUGAGACCCGCCUUUGCAGCAGCCUGCCAGGAGGUGCUGACGCUGCCGGCGCCUGGACCGCGCGUUGAACAGUGCAGUAAAGCCAAGGAUAUGGGAGGGAAAAAACGGGGAAAGAGUCAUGGAAAGCCAGCUUCUUGCUGAAACUCCACCAGGUGCCCUGCUGGAAUCUCCCUUGAAAGAGCCUCUAUCCUGAAGAGUGUUGGACCCUGGAGCUGCUGGCCACAUCUUGAUCUGCCAUAUGUGGUCCAAGAAUGAAGUAAACACGAAGGAGAAUGAAGGUGCUGAGGGAUAAAGAUAUUGUUUGACAUUCUAGGAGCUCCUGGAUCAAG
This is a long non-coding RNA of Symphalangus syndactylus (siamang), 572 nucleotides long. RefSeq lists it as uncharacterized. Lineage: Eukaryota; Metazoa; Chordata; Mammalia; Primates; Hylobatidae. The record is from RefSeq and is a predicted model, not a curated record.